RNAcentral lists this ribosomal RNA (253 nucleotides) under uncultured bacterium. RNAcentral describes it as "partial 16S ribosomal RNA". It matches the Rfam family "Bacterial small subunit ribosomal RNA", at positions 524 to 776 of the family's 1533-position model. The record is from RNAcentral.
UACGUAGGGGGCAAGCGUUGUCCGGAAUCAUUGGGCGUAAAGAGCGUGUAGGCGGCCCGAUAAGUCCGCUGUGAAAGUCCAGGGCUCAACCCUGGGAUGCCGGUGGAUACUGUCGGGCUCGAGUCCGGAAGAGGCGAGUGGAAUUCCUGGUGUAGCGGUGAAAUGCGCAGAUAUCAGGAGGAACACCAAUGGCGAAGGCAGCUCGCUGGGACGUGACUGACGCUGAGGAGCGAAAGCGUGGGGAGCAAACAGG